GCUUCCUUGGUGUAGUUGGUUAUCACGUCGGUCUCAUACCAAGACCAUGACUGCUACUAAGUAGCGGGACAUCCGAAGGUCGCCAGUUCGAGUCUGGCAGGGAGCA
RNAcentral lists this transfer RNA (106 nucleotides) under Massariosphaeria phaeospora. It matches the Rfam family "tRNA". Rfam says of the family: Transfer RNA (tRNA) molecules are approximately 80 nucleotides in length. The record is from Rfam by way of RNAcentral. Lineage: Eukaryota; Fungi; Ascomycota; Dothideomycetes; Pleosporales.